AUUGAACGCUGGCGGCAGGCCUAACACAUGCAAGUCGAACGGUAACAUGAAGCUUCUUGCUGCUUUUCUUUCGAGUGUCGGUCGUGUGUGUUAUGUCUGUGAAACUGCCCGAUGGAGGGGGUUAACUACUGGAAACGGUAUCUAAUACCGCAUAACGUCGCAAGCCCAAUGAGGGGUACCUUAUUUCCUCUUUCCAUCGGAUGUUCCCAGAUGGGAUUAGCUAGUAGGUGGGGUAACGUCUCACCUAGGCGACGAUCCCUAGCUGGUCUGAGAGGAUGACCAGACACACUGGAACGGAGACACGGACCAGACUACUACGGGAGGCAGCAGUGGGGAAUAUUGCACAAUGGGCGAAAGCAUGAUGCAGCAAUGCCGCGUGUAUGAAGAAGGACUUCGGGUUGUAAAGUAAUUUAAGCGGGGAGGAAGGGAGUAAAGUUAAAAAAUUAGCAGAUUGACGUUAACAGAAGAAGAAGCACCGGCUAACUACGUG
RNAcentral lists this ribosomal RNA (490 nucleotides) under uncultured bacterium. RNAcentral's name for it is "partial 16S ribosomal RNA". It matches the Rfam family "Bacterial small subunit ribosomal RNA", at positions 30 to 507 of the family's 1533-position model. The record is from RNAcentral.